Patella vulgata (common limpet) is the source of this 1216-nucleotide long non-coding RNA. RefSeq lists it as uncharacterized. The record is from RefSeq and is a predicted model, not a curated record. The transcript has 4 exons. NCBI's taxonomy places the organism in Eukaryota, Metazoa, Mollusca, Gastropoda, Patellidae.
UGUAAUUCAUCGUAUGUUAGUGGUGAAUAUUGGUUAUACCCUCCUAUAUUUAAUUAUAACAGAGUCAAGAUAUAUUGUGGUGAUUUUUCAAAGGUUAUUCCCAGGGAUUUUAUCACUUUACAUCACCUGAAUGUUGUCAGGUUUCCUAGUGGUAAAUAUGUAGGGACCGGUUGCGACGUCAACGAAACAGUAUCAACUCCAAUGAAUCCGGGAGAAACGGAAUUUCAUAAAGUGAGACUAGAUUUAUCGACAGGGGAAAUUAUUGGUACUAACGACUACUAUACUACACAAAUCAGUGGAGAAGUGAAACGAUUUGGUGAUGCUAUAGCAUGUUCUGGAAUUCAUGAUCACGUCACUUGUCCAAGAAGAGGCUAUGUUUUGGUGGACUUUAGACAGACGGGAUUUAAAUUAAGUCCCUUGACUACCUGGAAGAACAGUUCUUUGGCAACUUAUUUCGAAGAUUGUGAUAUAAUAGAACAGUCAACGUAUAGAUUUGAAGCUAGAGGGGAUGGAUACUGUGGUGGUUGCAUACCAAUAUCGAGAAUAAAAGUAGAUCUCGACUUGCCAACAAUGCCCCCGUUAUCAGCAGCCAUCAUGCCACAGUGUAAUUAAAGGGAGAUAUUUCCCAUUCCUUUCUGAUAUAAUAUCUUCAACAAUUACUUGUCCUCCUGUGUAUUUUAUUAUAUAUAAUAUUAGUAUCUGUCACUCUUUCUUGGCUUUAACUAAAAUGUUCCAUUGUCCAUGCGGAAUCGGGAUUCUUUAUGUUUAUGAUUAUUGAGUACAAUUUUGUCAAAUAUGUACAACUGACCCAGAUCCUCCGUACGUUGAGGUUCUAGGUGUUCGAGACUAAUAUUAUACAUUCAAUCCGUUACGUUGCCUCCUUUUGUUAAUAUUUUAUCUGAUAUCAUAUCGCCAACUAGCAUGCCUUGUUGUAAAUAAAGAGAGAUAACACAAAUAGGCUACAGUUGCUUACCAUCAUCAGUGCGCCAAUACAUGCCAAUAUGUGGCGGUAUGAUCAAUUAUCCACUUCCUGCGAGCUGUCACAUGACGUCACAAAAUGACAUAUUUUCCUGAUUUUGAAUAGGCCAACUUGCGAUAUAUUAUUUAAGAUUUAAUUUACUGUCCCAAUAGUUUAGCUUGUGUAUAUAGCUUACAAUGAUAUUACAUAGUUACACUUAUCUGCUUUUAUAUAUUGUUUUGUAUUAUUGGAAUCAUA